AUGCUCAGCCCCUAAUUUACAGCCAUUUAAAAGCAAACAUUCUACAAGUACCUUUGGGGACCUCUGAGGAUGGAAAGAAAUCGUCGAGAAAUUAGGAACCUAGAGCUCCCCUCGAAGGCAAGAGCCCUUUCGUGCAGGGCCACAGAGCUGGAUCGCCACGGUUGGGGGUGCAAGGUGGAGUGGAAGCUGGCUGGGCUCUCAGGCUCUCAGCCAGGACCGGGGAGGAGCAGAAGGCGGUGUCUGGUCCGAACUAACUUUCCUCUCUAAGCCCUUCUCCCUACAAGGAGCUCUAAGGAAAACUGAUUCCACAGGCUAAGGCACCUCCUCUUCAGAGUAUCCCAUAUAGGAUCAUCAGGGAAAUAAGCAAGAGCUCAAGCUCGAAUGGAGGCGUUUUCUUAGCCCAAGGACCCUAGCGGUGACUGCUAUGAGAGAGUGAAGCUGGUAAAUUCACCUCUACACCUGCUCUUCUGAGGGCAGAGGAAUCCCUGACCUGUAUGAAAUACAAGCCAUUCUUCAGCUGUGAAGAUCCUAAUCACUGAUCCAUCAAAAGGGAUCUGUUUGGAUAAUUCCAGUCUUGGAUCAACCUGGAUCCACCAAGUUCACUGUGUGACUAGAAGCCAACAUUUAUAAGAUGGCCAGACCACUCCAAGGAUGGAAUCAGUGGCUGAGAAAUACAGUAGAGGAACUAGCCCACCGUGGAUGAGUGGACUAGCCCAAUGCUUUAACCAGUUAAGCUCUGCUGCUUUCAAUAGGCAGGGUGGUAUCCCAGUCAAAGUGCCAAAAGCCCUAUUUGCUUUCUGUGUCAAGAGAGGCAACUUUAGUUAAAAAGCAGAAC
Molecule: long non-coding RNA, 835 nt
Organism: Sus scrofa (pig)
Lineage: Eukaryota; Metazoa; Chordata; Mammalia; Artiodactyla; Suidae
Source: RefSeq, a predicted model, not a curated record